CUGGUCCUGUGAUGCUGAUUGAAGUGAGGACGGAGUUCCCUGAGGUCUCCCCAAAUCCAGGAGAUGCAAACCUUAUUUGGGGUCUGAAUGCCCACAAGUGGCACCAGCGGCUGAAAGCCUUUUACCAUUUAUUCAUUCAGGUUGUUCACAAGUCAGUGCUCACAUUUAUUGGAGGCAUAACUCCAGCGUGGUGCAGUAUGUGUGUGUGUGUGUGUGUGUGUGUGUGUGUGGUCGUAUGUGCAUGAGAGGGUGGUCUUGUGGGCAUGGGUAGUGUAUAGGUGGAGUUUGUCACGUGUGCAGGUGGUUAAGGAUGUAAUGUGCAUGUGUAGUGUGUAGGUGGUGUAUGUGUAUGUGCAAAUGCUAUGUGUGUGAAAUGUGUGGGUGUUGUGUGUGUGAAAUGUGUGUGGUGCAUUAUGUGUGUGUCUGUGGUCCAGUGUAUGGUAUGUGUGGUCCAGUGUGUGUGUGUGGUCUGAGUGUGGCAUAGUGUGUGUGGUAUAGUGUGUAUGGUGUGAGUGUGUGGUGCAGUGUGUGUGAUGAGUGUGGUGUGUGUAGUGUAAGUAUGUGGUGCAGCAUAUAUAUGUGUGGUGUGAGUGUGUGGUGCAGAGUGUGGUGUGUGUAGUGUUUGUGAGGUGCAGCAUGUGUGUGGUGUGUGUGGUGUGUAUGUGUAGUGUAAGUGUGUGUGGCGCAGUGUGUGUGUGGCGUGUGGUCUGUAUGUAGUGUGUGUAGUGCAGUGUGUUCGGUCUGUGGUAUGUUUAGUGUGUGGUGCAGCGUGUAUAUGUGUGGUGUGAGUGUGUGAUGCAGAGUGUGGUGUAUGUGGUGUGGUGUGCUGUGGUGUGUGUGUGGUGCUGCAAUGUGUGUGUGGUCUGAGUAUAUGGUGUGAGUGGGUGGCAUGAAUGUGUUGUGCAGAGUGUGGUGUGUGUGCUGUGUGUGUUGUGCUGCAGUGUGUGCAUGACGUGUGUGUGUAGUGUGAGUGUGUGGUGCAGUGGUGCAGUGUGUGUAUGUGUGGCGUGUGGUAUGUGUGUG
This 1023-nucleotide long non-coding RNA is filed under the name Homo sapiens (human). Its description in RNAcentral is "HSALNT0343492". Lineage: Eukaryota; Metazoa; Chordata; Mammalia; Primates; Hominidae. The record is from RNAcentral.